CAGGCCUAACACAUGCAAGUCGAACGGAAACGAUGCUAGCUUGCUAGCAGGCGUCGAGUGGCGGACGGGUGAGUAACACGUGGGAAUCUGCCUAUUAGUGGGGGAUAAGCUGGGGAAACCCAGUCUAAUACCGCAUACGCACUACGGUGGAAAGGGGCCCUCUCCUUGGAAGGUCUCGCUAAUAGAUGAGCCCGCGUCGGAUUAGCUAGUUGGUGGGGUAAAGGCCCACCAAGGCGACGAUCCGUAGCUGGUCUGAGAGGAUGAUCAGCCACACUGGGACUGAGACACGGCCCAGACUCCUACGGGAGGCAGCAGUAGGGAAUAUUGGACAAUGGAGGAAACUCUGAUCCAGCCAUGCCGCGUGUGUGAAGAAGGCCCUAGGGUUGUAAAGCACUUUCAGUAGGGAGGAAACGCCUACGGUUAAUACCCGUGGGCUAUGACGUUACCUACAGAAGAAGCACCGGCUAAUUUCGUGCCAGCAGCCGCGGUAAUACGAAAGGUGCAAGCGUUAAUCGGAAUUACUGGGCGUAAAGCGUACGUAGGCGGUUGAUUAAGCAGGAUGUGAAAGCCCCAAGCUCAACUUGGGAACUGCAUCCUGAACUGGUCAACUAGAGUACAGCAGAGGAGAGUGGAAUUUCUCGUGUAGCGG
Molecule: ribosomal RNA, 649 nt
Filed under: uncultured bacterium
Lineage: Bacteria
Description: bacterial SSU rRNA
Rfam family: Bacterial small subunit ribosomal RNA
Source: RNAcentral